GUUUAAUGUUGACAAUCUGCAUGCAUUGUGUUUUAAAAAAGGUAUAAUCAAUUUUAAAAUGAUAAGAUAUUUAAAUAUUUCAUGGUUCAUAUACAAUCUAUUGUUUCAUUGUAGGUUUUGUAAUAUCAACAGAGAUCCUAUGAGGAAUAACAUGGAAUGAGUUGACAUAAUUGUUUGAGUGCAUAUGACAAGGAUUAAAAAAUUCACAAGAAAAUGUAGGUAUAAUUUUAUCUAUUUGAUCAGGGCUAAUCUGCAGAUCAAUAUCAGAAAAGUUUAAAUCUGUCAAAUUGUGAUUUGUAUAGAUAUAAGGGAAACAGGAUUCUUAAGUGGUUGUUUGGGAGAUACUUUUCAAGUAAGGUAUUCAUUGUUUGAAUAUAAUUAUUGUAAAAUGGUCUUUGUUUUGUUUAGUAAAAUUCCAUUUGUACAUACUUUUAUCCUCUAAAACCUUUUAAAACUUAAAUACAUUAUACAUGUAUGUAGAUACAUUUUGUUGGUUCAAAUAGAUGUAUUUUGCAUAAUAUGAAGCACUGUAAAUAUUCGGUAUCAACUGCAAUUUAAUUUUACAAGAUGAAUGUUUUAAGCAAAUUUUUCAAGCCAGUUUUAUGCUUAAGGAAAAUGAUGUCUGAACAAAAUAUUUUGAUACACUCAAACAUUAUUUGUAAACCAUACAAAUAUUUCAACAAAGAAACUAUUUGUUGGACAAAGAAUUUGGUGGCACAGGAUUUAGAUUUAUAUGCUCUUUCCUUUAAUAUGAUUUUAAAUCCAGAUUUUUUUGGUGGUAAACAGUGGCAAACAAGCUCAUUUUGGGGCCCUUUAUAAUUUGCUGUUUGGUGUGAGCCUAGGCUCCUUGUAAAAAAUAGGCUUGUUGAAACCUAAAAUGGUUUACUUUUAUAAAUUGUGACUUGGAUGGAGAGUUGUCUCAUUGGCACUCAUACCACAUCUUCUUAUAUCUAUCAGUCAAAAAUCUAUAGAAAUAUUAUUACUAAUGUCAUGACUUUUCUUACAUAUGGUAAAGCUUAGCUUUAGUUGUAAUCGUAAUAAGUUUAUUGCAACUCAACAUAUAAAAUAAUGCUAUAGCAUCAACAACAUAUAUAGUAUAGUAAGCGACAUAAUAUAAAUGAAAACAGAAAGCAAAAUAAUAACAAAAAAAACAUAUUAAACAAAUAGUACAGUAUAAUUAUUAUCUACUUUAUCAAGUUAAAUACAUCUUGAUAAUUAACAAAUCAAUGCAGGUGAAAUGAAUGCAGAACAAAAAAAAAAGAACUUCACGCACAGCGUAAACAUCAUUAUAGAUCAGAUUAUCACAUGUUUGUGUGUAAAACAAGAAAUUAAGAUACACAUCUGUAAAAGGCACCCUAUUGCUGUGGUUGCUUUACUUCUCUCAUUGAUUUGCCUAUUAUGGCUUCAGUGUAAAAUUACUAGAAUACAUGUAUAAGCAAGAAAGGAUUGGAAUCUUGAACCAUUGACAGAUGUUAAGUGUACCAUAUGAAUACAAUAUCAGGCCAGGUACUUUUUGUAUAAAAAUGGGGUAUCACUAUCAAUGAAUGGGACAGCAACACUACAACUCAAAAAUAGCAAAAUAAGCCUAGAUGUAUUGUCUUCAGCAUUAUGCCAUCUGAAAUGAUUUGUCAGACAUCUUGUUUUAUAGUAGAAAUUGGUAGUGCAAUCUGGCCCGAGAACACAGUUAUUUCGUAGUACAUUUCUUUUAGACAAUAAAUUAAAAUUAAAAAAAUCGCACCUGCUCUUUCUCAAAAAGAUUUUUACAGCGUAGUGUACUACCAGUGAGACAAAUAAUAUCAAAAUUAUAGAAACUUCUACCAGCUCUAACUCAAAAUAUUGACAAUUCUGUGUUAAGGGGUGUAAAAUUCAGUUUGACAGCUUCAGACGUGAUAAAAUUUGACCUUUUUGAACUGGACUAAAUCACUACUCAACACAAAAAUUCAGCACCCAAAUUUUUUUAACAUGUAAUAAAAUCCCCCCUACUUAAUAUUUUAUGCAUUUAAUAUCAAGAAAUAAAUUGGGAAAGUGCAUCAAAUAAAACAUGCAAGUUAUACACUGUUUACACCAGGGACUAUAUUCAUAGACAACGAAAACCAAAGGACGAUAACUGUUUCCUUGGACCAUCUUUAAAAAAAUAUACUACAUUCUUUGUAUUGUCUUGAUGAUAGAUUUAAAAUAUUUUUCUUAGGAAUUUCAAAGUGCCAUCCCACAUAAAUUGAAUGAGAGUACUUUGGGGGAUUAUUUUUUUAUCAUCAAUUAUAUUUAAAUAAUGAAUGCAACCUUUCUAGUGAUUUUUGACUCAAAAGCUUUCAAGGACCUUUACUUAAACUCGUCUAUUUAAGAACUUAAGAUUUUUAAAGUUUGAUUUUUUCAACACUCAUCUAUUAAAUUACCUUUUUUAACUUAGAAUUUCUGAAGUAAUGUGGUCUUCAUUGUGGUUUAUUUACAUUCAUGAGUGUAAAAUGAUAAAGAUCUAAAAUAAAGUUAUUAAAUUACUGUUUAAUAUGUCAAUUUAUUUAUUUAAUCAAUCUAGAAUGAGGUGUAGAUUUUAACCCAGUAGAAUGAAUUGACAUGUUAAAUGGGGUUGGUUUUAUCAUAUUUUAAUUGUAUAUAUAUGUUAAUAAAAUAGGGUAUAUUUAUGGUUGAAGCCAAUUUUAGGAAGAAGGUGAAAUUUUUUAGGUGGUAAAUGGAAUAUUAAGUGAUAAAUGGAAAAUUAGGUGGUAUAUGUCUCCAUUAGAAUAGAGGUAAUUCUUCUUUAUUAUACUUGUCUAGGUGAUAUAUAUAAGUGAGGACAAUCUAUGGAAAAAAUCCUAAUUUGUUUAAAUCUGGUAAGUGCUAGCAGAAAAUUGAUUUAUUUGACUUGAAACAUUACUUAUUCUUUUAAAGGUAAGCUAAAAUAAAGAUUGUUCCAACAAUAAAAAUUUGAAGUUGUUAAAAGAUUGAGCUAGUUUUACAAAACAUACAUAUUGGGACACAUACUGACUCGAACAACUUAGGAAUUUAAUUGUUGAGAAUUAAAAAAUAAAAAAAAUCUAAGGAUAUGGACUGGUUGAGUUUAAAGAAGCUUAUAAUGUAUUUUUUUUAGAUUUUUUGCUUAUUAUUGUGUGUUUCCUUAGUUUUGUCUUCCAAAGUUUGUGUUUAUAUAUUUGCGCAAAUGUCAGAACUAUUUCUGUAUAUAUAUUAGACAUGUAUAUGCACUUUAAUGAAUGAUAGUGUACCAUGUAUAUUUUGUAAGAUUUGAUUGAUUGAUGAGUUAAUUUAUCUUCAUUUUCUUAAUGCUCAGUCGCAAAUAUUUCAUUAAUUUGUGCAUCCCCACACAGGGCAGGUGCACUCAACUCCUUUAUUUAUGGACUAGGGUUAUCAGAGUUCCUACCAAAGAUCUGUGGUUCUCUCUGGACACUGGCUUCCUCCACAAAUAAAAACUGACUGCAACCAAACAGCACUAUAGUAUUAUCAGAGUUCCUACCAAAGAUCUGUGGUUCUCUCUGGACACUGGCUUCCUCCACAAAUAAAAACUGACUGCAACAAAACAGCACUAUAGUAUUGGAAGUGAUGUUACACACCAAUCAAGAACCACAUAAUUUCUGAAUAUGACAGAGUGCUAGCAUUAAUACAUAUGUGAAUAUAAAAUUGAGGGACAUUAGAGUUAACUUUACUAUAAUAAAAUUAUACGUGUCAAUAAAUAAAUGCUUGUCACUUUUUAAGCAUUUACCUCAAAACAAUAGAUACCUUGAAAUCAAUUUGCACAAUUAUGAUAGAGAUAUAUGUAUCUUGUAAAGCUUAUACAUCAGUAUUUUAUGCAAGUAAGCAUUCUAUUGUCUUAUUGACAUUAUUGUCUCACCUUGACACUACAGUGUAACCAGUGUUAUCAGACACAGAACUCUAGUAUUGUGUCACCUUGAUAUUAUAGUGUAACCUGUGCUAUCGGACACACUGGGGGACCAGAAAAAAAAUGCCAGAUUAAGCAGGGUGUCGAAAUACCCAAGUUUAUUUUCUGUAAGGAUAGGCUUAUUUUGGGACCAUGAUAAUGUGUUGGUUAAAGCAGGAUGUUGGAAUACUCAGAUGUCAGAUUAGGCAGGUUACACUGUAUAUGUACAAUAUGUAUUUAUUUCAAUCUCUCUGCCAAUUUUCACAGUUAAAAAUAAAAGCACUGAAUUAUUUUAAGCUUUGUAUUUUGUUUGUAAUUUUAUGUUCACUUUAAAUGUAUUAAAUGUAUAGUUUUUAUAUCCACAGAUUGUAGAAACAACAGGGAUAUGCGUUAAGAAGAUUAAGGUAGAAAGAGAUUAAUAUCCAGAUUAACUUGUGGCUUUCUGGAUUAACUAAGAUUUUUUUGGAUUAUUGUUUUCCAGUGAGUAACAG
RNAcentral lists this long non-coding RNA (4359 nucleotides) under Mytilus galloprovincialis (Mediterranean mussel). The record is from RNAcentral. Lineage: Eukaryota; Metazoa; Mollusca; Bivalvia; Mytilida; Mytilidae.